This 246-nucleotide ribosomal RNA is filed under the name uncultured bacterium. RNAcentral describes it as "partial 16S ribosomal RNA". It matches the Rfam family "Bacterial small subunit ribosomal RNA", at positions 796 to 1041 of the family's 1533-position model. The record is from RNAcentral.
CACGCCGUAAACGAUGUCGACUUGGAGGUUGUUCCCUUGAGGAGUGGCUUCCGGAGCUAACGCGUUAAGUCGACCGCCUGGGGAGUACGGCCGCAAGGUUAAAACUCAAAUGAAUUGACGGGGGCCCGCACAAGCGGUGGAGCAUGUGGUUUAAUUCGAUGCAACGCGAAGAACCUUACCUACUCUUGACAUCCACGGAAUUUAGCAGAGAUGCUUUAGUGCCUUCGGGAACCGUGAGACAGGUGC